ACUUCUUCAGCAAGCCUACGCUGAGCUGUGUUGGGCAAAUAGCCGGGUCUCUUCAUUCCCAUCUCCAACUCAUCAAUCACAUCCAAGUCCAAGAAAGUAAGUAUCUUGAGGAACCUAAUAACAUCGGCAUCAGGUACAGAGAAGAAGUAUUGAUAGAACUUGGAUGGAGAUAAAAAGGAUGGCGAAAGCCAAAUGGCACCAUCCUCUGACUUGCCAAAUUUGGUGCCAUCACUCUUCAAUAAAAGAGGAAAUGUCAAACCAUAUGCCUCAGCUCCAUCGCCUGGCUGCAGAAUUUUUCGGAUAAGUUCAGUCCCAGCAGUUAUAUUGCCCCACUGGUCACUUCCUCCAAUCUGAACAUUAACACCCUCAUUUCUGAAAAGGUAAAGGAAGUCAUAGCCCUGCAAGAGCUGGUAAGUGAACUCAGUAUAACUCAUUCCUUGUUCAGAUUCAAGCCUCUUCUUCACACUCUCCUUGGCAAUCAUGGUACCCACCCGAGCAUAUCUUCCAACUUGUUUCAAGAAAUCCAGUAGCCUAACCUCUUCCCACCAGUCAUAAUUAUUCAUAACCACAAUUGGGUUGUUCAAAUUCAUAUUCAUAUUGAACAUUCUAAUUAGGGUAUUAGAAAUCCCAAAGGUAUUCUUCUCCAAAGUAUCGGCAUCAAGCUCUGGCCUUUCCAGGCUCUUACCAGAUGGGUCACCGAUCCUGGCGGUGGCUCCACCAAUCAAGGCAACGGCUUUGUGGCCACACCUUUGGAACCAAGAGAGCACGAUGAUGCCAAGAAGGUUACCCAAGUGCAAGCUCUCGGCAGUGGGAUCAAAACCGCAGUAAACUUUGAGGGUGGAGUUAGAAGUAGAAGAAGCGGACCUGAGAUUGUCGCUGGUGAGGGAUUCAAGCAAGCCCCUUUCCUCAAGGAUGUCGACUACGUUGGGGCGGCGAAUUGCUUCCUGGGUUUGUGUGGUGGAAGCUUGCUGGGUAGCGUACUGCAGGCACCUAACGGGAGGGAGAGAGGAAAAGAAGACAGGAUUUUUCUUGACGAUAUUUGGGUUUAGGGAAGGUGGAAACUUAGUAGAAAGAGAGAGAGAAAAGGGAAAGGGCAAGAGUUUGAGAUGGGAUUGGGAGGAGCAGAGGACCGUUCUUGCAGCAGUGGCGGCCAUUGGACCUGGAGCGUUGCUCCCCCUGCCUCGUUAGGCUUUCGGGUUUUGG
RNAcentral lists this unclassified non-coding RNA (1203 nucleotides) under Hevea brasiliensis (rubber tree). The record is from RNAcentral. Lineage: Eukaryota; Viridiplantae; Streptophyta; Magnoliopsida; Malpighiales; Euphorbiaceae.